RNAcentral lists this ribosomal RNA (115 nucleotides) under Anelosimus eximius. RNAcentral's name for it is "partial 5.8S ribosomal RNA". It matches the Rfam family "5.8S ribosomal RNA", at positions 40 to 153 of the family's 154-position model. Rfam says of the family: 5.8S ribosomal RNA (5.8S rRNA) is a component of the large subunit of the eukaryotic ribosome. It is transcribed by RNA polymerase I as part of the 45S precursor that also contains 18S and 28S rRNA. Lineage: Eukaryota; Metazoa; Arthropoda; Arachnida; Araneae; Theridiidae. The record is from RNAcentral.
AAGAACGGAGCCAGCUGCGAGACUUGGUGUGAAUUGCAGGACACAUUGAGCACUGAUUUUUCGAACGCGCAUUGCGGCCUCGGGUCCUGCCCGGGGCCUCGCCUGUCUGAGGGUC